This 407-nucleotide ribosomal RNA is filed under the name uncultured bacterium. Its description in RNAcentral is "partial 16S ribosomal RNA". It matches the Rfam family "Bacterial small subunit ribosomal RNA", at positions 28 to 526 of the family's 1533-position model. The record is from RNAcentral.
GACGAACGCUGGCGGCGUGCCUAAUACAUGCAAGUAGGACGCAGUUGCGAACGGGUGAGUAACGCGUAGGUAACUGCCUCUUAGAGGGGGAUAACUAUUGGAAACGAUAGCUAAUACCGCAUACUAGUAGAUGGACCUGCGUUGUAUUAGCUAGUAGGUAGGGUAAUGGCCUACCUAGGCGGCGAUACAUAGCCGACCUGGGAGGGGGAUCGGCCACAAUGGGACUGGGACAAGGCCCAGAAUCCUAAGGGGGGCAGCAGUAGGGAAACUUCGGAAAUGGGGGGAACCCUGACCGAGCAAAGCCGCGUGAGGGAAGAAGGGUUUCGGAUCGUAAAGCUAUGUUGUUAAGGAAGCGGUACUUAACCAGAAAGGGACGGCUAACUACGUGCCAGCAGCCGCGGUAAUUC